UUCGGAAUAACUCAGGGAAACUUGANCUAAUACCGGAUACGCCCUUCGGGGGAAAGAUUUAUUGCCGAAAGAUCGGCCCGCGUCCGAUUAGCUAGUUGGUGUGGUAAUGGCGCACCAAGGCGACGAUCGGUAGCUGGUCUGAGAGGAUGAUCAGCCACACUGGGACUGAGACACGGCCCAGACUCCUACGGGAGGCAGCAGUGGGGAAUAUUGGACAAUGGGCGCAAGCCUGAUCCAGCCAUGCCGCGUGAGUGAUGAAGGCCCUAGGGUUGUAAAGCUCUUUCGCCAGGGACGAUAAUGACGGUACCUGGAUAANAAGCCCCGGCUAACUUCGUGCCAGCAGCCGCGGUAAUACGAAGGGGGCUAGCGUUGUUCGGAAUCACUGGGCGUAAAGCGCACGUAGGCGGAUCUUUAAGUCAGGGGUGAAAUCCCGAGGCUCAACCUCGGAACUGCCUUUGAUACUGGAGGUCUCGAGUUCGGGAGAGGUGAGUGGAACUGCGAGUGUAAAGGUGAAAUUCGUANAUAUUCGCAAGAACACCAGUGGCGAAGGCGGCUCACUGGCCCGAUACUGACGCUGAAGUGCGAAAGCGUGGGGGAGCAAACAGGAUUAGAUACCCUGGUAGUCCAC
RNAcentral lists this ribosomal RNA (628 nucleotides) under Methylocystis sp. B8. RNAcentral's name for it is "bacterial SSU rRNA". It matches the Rfam family "Bacterial small subunit ribosomal RNA", at positions 137 to 798 of the family's 1533-position model. The record is from RNAcentral. Lineage: Bacteria; Pseudomonadati; Pseudomonadota; Alphaproteobacteria; Hyphomicrobiales; Methylocystaceae.